Molecule: transfer RNA, 70 nt
Filed under: Rhinotermes marginalis
Lineage: Eukaryota; Metazoa; Arthropoda; Insecta; Blattodea; Rhinotermitidae
Description: tRNA-Ile
Source: RNAcentral
AAUGAUGAGCCUGACCUAAAGGAAUAUCGUGAUAGGAUAUAUUAUGUGGAAUCUGGGUCCACCUUCAUUA